Molecule: ribosomal RNA, 772 nt
Filed under: uncultured Neocallimastigales
Lineage: Eukaryota; Fungi; Neocallimastigomycota; Neocallimastigomycetes; Neocallimastigales
Description: partial large subunit ribosomal RNA
Rfam family: Eukaryotic large subunit ribosomal RNA
Source: RNAcentral
GCAUCUGUGCAUGCAGCAUAUCAAUAAGCGGAGGAAAAGAAACUAACAAGGAUUCCCCUAGUAACGGCGAGUGAAGCGGGAAGAGCUCAAAUUUGAAAUCUUAAAGGGUUUCCCUUACGAAUUGUAGUUUAAAGAAGUGUUUUCUGUUGAGGUUUUGGUAAAAGUUCUUUGGAAUAGGACAUCAUAGAGGGUGAGAAUCCCGUAUUUGACCUUUACUUUCAACUUUGUGAUACACUUUCAAAGAGUCGGAUUGUUUGGGAAUGCAGUCCAAAAUGGGUGGUAAAUUUCAUCUAAAGCUAAAUAUUGGCGAGAGACCGAUAGCGAACAAGUACCGUGAGGGAAAGAUGAAAAGAACUUUGAAAAGAGAGUUAAACAGUACGUGAAAUUGUCAAAAGGGAAGCGUUUGACACCAGUGUUGUUUUUCUGAAAAUCAAUUAAAGAACUGUUUAUGCUAAGUUGUUUAGACUUUAUCAGCUAACUGUUUAGUUUUGAGCUUUUCUUUAAUGCACUUUUCAGUUAACAAGUCAACAUCAAUUUCUUUUGCUGUAAAAAAGCUUGAGGAAGGUGGCUUGAGAUUCGUCUUAAGUGUUUAUAGCCUCUUGCCUAUGCAGUCGGAGAGAUUGAGGUCUGCAGCGUAGAUCCUUCGGGGCUAAAUGCAUUUGUGCUAAGUUAUAGCAUUUUAUAGACAACUUGUUGACUAUGAUUUGUCUUGUAGCUUACUCGCUUAUGUUAUUUUACCUACGCUUAGGAUGUUGAGCGCAUGUCUCUCUCU